CCUGAUGGGGGAAAGCCUUUUAAAGUUUAUUCAAGGAAGAAAGGGAAGACCUAAGUAAACUUUAAGUAGGAUUAAUAUUAAUUAGAAUUGAAUAGGGAUUGGUAUUUGUUGGAGUCUAAUUAGGAUUAGCUAGUUGAGUUAUAAUAUAAUUAGAAUUUGAGUCAUGAUAGGUUAUUAGAGUCCUAGUAGACUUUGGAUUUCUUAGAGAAGCCUAUAAAUAGGCUAAUCAAUGUAAAUCAAAGGAA
Vitis vinifera (wine grape) is the source of this 245-nucleotide long non-coding RNA. RefSeq lists it as uncharacterized. The transcript is spliced from 2 exons. The record is from RefSeq and is a predicted model, not a curated record. NCBI's taxonomy places the organism in Eukaryota, Viridiplantae, Streptophyta, Magnoliopsida, Vitales, Vitaceae.